Molecule: ribosomal RNA, 497 nt
Filed under: uncultured bacterium
Lineage: Bacteria
Description: partial 16S ribosomal RNA
Rfam family: Bacterial small subunit ribosomal RNA
Source: RNAcentral
GAUGAACGCUGGCGGCGUGCCUAAUACAUGCAAGUCGAGCGAACAGACGAGGAGCUUGCUCCUCUGACGUUAGCGGCGGACGGGUGAGUAACACGUGGAUAACCUACCUAUAAGACUGGGAUAACUUCGGGAAACCGGAGCUAAUACCGGAUAAUAUAUUGAACCGCAUGGUUCAAUAGUGAAAGACGGUUUUGCUGUCACUUAUAGAUGGAUCCGCGCCGCAUUAGCUAGUUGGUACGGUAACGGCUUACCAAGGCAACGAUGCGUAGCCGACCUGAGAGGGUGAUCGGCCACACUGGAACUGAGACACGGUCCAGACUCCUACGGGAGGCAGCAGUAGGGAAUCUUCCGCAAUAGGCGAAAGCCUGACGGAGCAACGCCGCGUGAGUGAUGAAGGUCUUCGGAUCGUAAAACUCUGUUAUUAGGGAAGAACAAAUGUGUAAGUAACUAUGCACGUCUUGACGGUACCUAAUCAGAAAGCCACGGCUAACUACGUG